RNAcentral lists this ribosomal RNA (442 nucleotides) under uncultured bacterium. Its description in RNAcentral is "partial 16S ribosomal RNA". It matches the Rfam family "Bacterial small subunit ribosomal RNA", at positions 338 to 795 of the family's 1533-position model. The record is from RNAcentral.
CCUACGGGAGGCAGCAGUAGGGAAUCUUUCACAAUGGGCGAAAGCCUGAUGGAGCAACGCCGCGUGCAGGAUGAAGGCCCUCGGGUUGUAAACUGCUUUUAUAAGCGAGAAAUAUGAUGGUAACUUAUGAAUAAGGAUCGGUUAACUACGUGCCAGCAGCCGCGGUCAUACGUAGGAUCCGAGCAUUAUCACGAGUGACUGGGUGUAAAGAGUUGCGUAGGUGGCAUAAUAAGUAGCUAGUGAAAUCUGGUGGCUCAACCAUUCAGACUAUUAGCUAAACUGUUAAGCUCGAGACCGUUAGAGGUAAGUGGAAUGUGUGGUGUAGGAGUGAAAUCCAUAGAUAUUAGAAGGAACACCGAUUGCGAAGGCAGGUUACUGGGACGGGUCUGACGCUAAGGCACGAAAGCGUAGGGAGCGAACGGGAUUAGAUACCCGGGUAGUC